UUUUAGACAGCAUUUCCUGCUACCGCUAAAGUUGAUUACCCUAUCUAAGAAAACCUCAAUAGUAAAAAAAACAAAAAAGCACAAUCACCAAAAUAGGAACGGUUUCCAUGUUAUGUUAACUCGUACUUACACAUAGUAACCACGCUAAACCCAACACGUUGCCCCAGCGCCACCGCUACCACCGCGCCGACCAACUCUUCAGCCACCGUUACCACCGCGCCGACCAACUCGAUUACGUCAGAAUUCAGAAAGUAUGUACAUUUCUAGCUAGCCAAGCAGAAGAGCUCGGAGAAUCAGACGAUGCAAGUGACUUUGAUACUGAUGAUGAUUACGAAGAUGAAUCUUCUAUAUAUGAGGAUGAUUAUGUAGAGAAUGUAGACUCUGACUCAGAAUAAAAAGAUUUUUUUAGUACUAUUGCUUAUGUAAUAUAUUUUGCUUGAUUUCUAUUUUUUUAUCUAA
This is a long non-coding RNA of Trifolium pratense (red clover), 459 nucleotides long. RefSeq lists it as uncharacterized. The record is from RefSeq and is a predicted model, not a curated record. The transcript is spliced from 2 exons. Lineage: Eukaryota; Viridiplantae; Streptophyta; Magnoliopsida; Fabales; Fabaceae.